Long non-coding RNA from Brassica napus (rape), 3090 nucleotides. RefSeq lists it as uncharacterized. The transcript is spliced from 2 exons. NCBI's taxonomy places the organism in Eukaryota, Viridiplantae, Streptophyta, Magnoliopsida, Brassicales, Brassicaceae. The record is from RefSeq and is a predicted model, not a curated record.
UAAGACUAAUUAACAAUAGGAUGAUUUUAAUGUAAAAGUCUCAUGCAUGUUUGACUAUAUAAUAGUUCUGAUAUGUUGCAUUUCUUUCUUUCACACUAAGUUAAGUAAUAGAUUGAUUAUUGGUUGGUGAUACGUAUUAUGUAAAACCAAAUUCUAACACAAUUAACCCUUAGGCAAUAUAUGCAAGCAGGUUUAUGUUUUGACUUGUGUAGACAUAUAUAUAACAUUAACACGGUACGUAUUUAUAAGUAUACGAUACGUACACAAACCACACAUGUGACACGGACCAACAUGUAUGAAGAAACGGUCCCAUUGAGAGAGAUCUCAUGACUUCAAAUCAAGAACUAGCCCAAUUCCAAAAUGGACACGUAAAUAUGUACAAAGCUUAAUCCCCAUCCCUCUAUAAUGGGUCUACACACAGCCUAGCUUUUUUUGUAUUUUGUGCACUGUUUUUUUUUUUCUAUACUUUUAGUUUACUUUGAUAUUUACUUUGAAAUUUUUUUUUAUAUUCUCACAUUUCGAUUAAUGAGUCUAGUCGCUUCCAUUGAUUCCGUCACGGCUAAUCAAAUCAACAUUAGUUAAACAGGCGAGAAAAAAACAUAUGGGUAUGAAUGGUGAACAGGGAACGGCGAUGAAUAAUGCAUUCCCUAACUUUCAUAAAAAAAAAUCACCAUUAACAAGGAAUAAUAAUUUUUUCUCAUUCCCUUUCAUUAUUUUUUUUGUAGAGAAUUAAAGAACAAAAUUUAUUCCUUGUUAAAAUUGAUAAGGAACAACCAUUCCUUUUCAUUCCUGCUAUUUUAUUCCCAAACAUUCAUUUUUUAUUUGUUCCUCUUGUUUCCCGAAUGGUCACCAGUCAGACCCUUCCAUAUGUUUACAAAAAUGUCAUUUUAAUUGACACCCUCACACAAACUAAUAAAAUAUUAUUUUAGUUAGUAAUUAAAUUCAUAUGUUAAUUAAAAUAUUUCGACAAUCCAGAUUUGAAAUUAUAUAUUUUUAUUAUAUUUAAAAAAAAUAUUUUAUUAAAAUUUAAAAAUAUAUUUCUGUGUAACAAGAAACAAAAUUUUCAAAAUGACAACCUUUAGAGAACAGAUGGAGUAUAAAUUAUUAAUGAAGUUCAUGAAACCUGGUGCCUGCCUAUUCAAGAUGCUGUCUCACAUUCCUAAAUAUUUCAGUAAAAUCCAUUAUAGUAUAUGAUCCCAUGUAAAUUAUUGGUGAGGCUGCUAAAUGCGAGCAAGCAACAUUACAAUUAUGGUGUCACAUCAAACUUGGUUACAGAAACUAUGGGCAUAAUAGAUAUAAUUCUGUCUUAAUGGGCUUGAGUUGAAUCCCAAAUAGACCCAUUAAAUACCACAUGAAUAAAGUUAAAUAAUGGGCUUUCUCAUGAGGUCAUCUUCUCCGGCGAAAAGGAGGAAGGAGAAGAUGACGAAACACACAAGGAUGAACGGAGAGCUUCCCUCUGCGAUUUCGUUCUGCUCCGUUCUCAUUUUUUUUUCUCGUCUUCAGUCAUCUUUCUCCUUGUGUUCUUCUACUUUUCAUCGAAUCCAACAAAGAUACGUUUUCUUAUUUCCGACUUGACUUUUAGUAGCUGAGAAGAUCUCAUUUUAGCUUGUUGGGUUGUUUUUGUAAUGAAAGGACUUGGAGAAACUCAAACUGGGUUCCGUGUUGGUGGUGUGACCAAUAUUGCUAAGAAGAAGAAUGUGUUCAGAGAGACCUUAAAGCUGCUUUUAAAGAAGUGAGUGAGUGGUGUCUUGAAGAUAGCACCAACUGUGUCUGGGAGUAAGAAGACUAAGGAUCAUGUCUGUAGUAGAGGGUUUUCUCUUGUUGAUGUCAAAGGCAAGAUUGAUGCAAACAUGUAGAUUAGCAUUUGUCCAAUCUUUCUCCCUUAGGUUGUAUGUAAGCUAAGCCAAAGAUCUUUUGUUUUCAAAGGUUUUUGGAGCAGUUCACUGGGAAGUGGUUAUAAUUUGGUAAGGUUAUAAAGCAAAUAAAAAUAUCAGGUUGUGGAUUUCUCUCCGAACUAAUCAGCGUCUGAGAAGCUAUACUCAGAUACAGUCUAUGAUGAUCUUCUGUUUUUUUGUUUUUUCUUGAAGCAGUUUCUAAUGUUGAUGUUGUUGAAGAAGAUAUACUUUUGUUGAUUCAUGGGAUGAUUCAGACAAAGAAGUAGAUGAGACACAAGUGGUAGAAUCUCCCAGUGAACUGAGCCGUGAUUCUAAAUCCAAUGUGUAAGGUCUCCGAAACACGCGUGGAUGGGAUGAUGAAUUAAGGAACAUGAUUGAUAGGUCUGCUGUGGAAGAAGUUGCUGAAGAGAAUCUUGAAUCUGUGAACAGCUCAGUGUCAUACUCAGAUGAGCAGCGAAUUGAUAGAAUCCGUAGGCUGGAGAUGAAACAAAUAAGAAGUUUCAGUAUCAACUUAUGCCCAACAAUAGUUUGGAGACAAUGCUCGAGGUUCCAAGAAAACAAACACCCUUGUAUCAAGAAUGUGGAAGUUAAAUCUGAUGGAGUUAUUUUGGUAGCUCCUUGAAAAGACAGAGGACUGCUAUAGCUGUUAAGUUAGAAAGGGAUAACAGUGAUGAGUUGAAGGAGAAGAGAAUCCAGAAGCUCGAGAAGGUCGCAGCACCUUCAGGAAAUGAUGUAUGGAUCGUUCAGAUGGGCGACUGCACCAUCUGCACGUGUGGGGAUUUUCAAAGGUGUAGACGCUCUAGCCGUCUGCAAGAAGCUGAAACUCAACCCUUUGAAGUAUGUAGACGACUGUUACACUUUUGAACUGUAUUACAAAACUUAUGAGGCCACUUUUCCUCCUGUUCCAGAGUUAUCAUCGUGGCCGGAAGCUCACGGAGUUCCGAGAUUGUUUCCUCCACUUAUGUAAGGCUCAACUGUUUAUGGUAUAUGGUUAUGUGUAGUAUCGUGUGACUUUCGGGAGUAGAGGGUUAAUGGUUUCUUUUUUUAAAAGGGAUAGUUGCUGUAACAGAAACAGAAAGGGUGUUGAUGUUUUUUGUAUGUGCAAACCAAUCCGGUACAUUUGUAAACCGUUAGGAAAACAAAUCUAAACAUGAUCGACAAACUGAAUACCACUAAGAAGCUAAUGGUUAUUACA